CAUGGAGAGAGGCCGCCCUAACCACCACUCAUCGCGUCCAACACUCGGACGUGAUUCUGUAACUGCUUCAAUGUGGCGAGGACAAACCCAACAUCCCUCGUCUGGUGGAGCGAAGCCGUCCUUCCUCCCGCCGCCACACAGCUGACGCUCUCUCCAGGUGGAUAUUAAUUCGUACUUCGCAGUGAUGUGUCUGUUAAUAAGAUGCAGCGUUUGAUAGAGCAGUAACUGUGCUGAACUCCUGAACCUAAUGGUAAAAGUGUGAUUGGUCCAGUGCCACACCCAUCGCCUCAACAGUGAGCUCCUAGUUUUUCUAGUAACAAGGAGUCGCUUGUGGAUACUGGAUUGAGAGGAAAGAAGGGUAAAUGUACCGUGAAGAGAGUUUUUGCAAACUGGCUUGAAGAGUUUCCUGAGAUGAGCCUGGUGAGGAACGGUGCAAAAGCUGCAAGGCAUUUAAGUACUCUAACUCGGAGAACUGCUUCCCACGGUUCAUCAGCACAUUGAGGAUCUCCUACAGGGGAAAAAAAUAGAACUCAUCAAUAUGUUGGCAAUGAGAGGUCCCAGUCCUUCAAAAAUGUACUGCAAGAAAGAAGGGAUUUUGAACACAUCUCACUCCUGUGGAAUAAGUUUGGUGCUUGCUACAUUCAUUAUGAGGUGUGACCCCAGAUGUCUGUCUGCCCUGUCAACACCCAUUGAGCUGGAGGAAGAUUUCACCAUUCUGCUGCUGCCAUGUCCCUCACCCCACCCAACUUCCCAUAUCUUAAGAAUAAGUGUGUCAGACUAUAUAGUGUUGCUAGCUGUGAUGCUGGUACAUAUAGCUGCAGUGUUCCAAGUCCCAGACUCCCUAACUCAGAUACUGUAUUUAUUUAUUUAUUUUUUUUUUUUAUAAAAAUUUUAAUUUUCAAUAAAUGUGUACACUUCUCCUGGAGAGUCUUCUUAGUAUCUUUAAAUCUAAAUUCUGAAGUGCUUGCAGUGUAAAAAAAUGUUAAAAUGGGGGGAUGACUGGCUUGGAAGGUAGCUUGUGCUUGGAAGUUCCACAGUAGCCUACCUUGUAUCUAUCUUUCUUCAUGCAGAUAUGUGGAAAUUUGUUGCCAGUAUGUCUAUUUUGCUCCAAAACUAUGCAACAUAGGCAGAGAAGGAAAUAUACAAACUCUUUGAAUGAGAGUUCCUUAAGAAUAAUGCAACAAAACAAAACAAAUUAUUGGUUUCAAGAAUGUGUGUAUAAAAAUGGUGCCAUGACAUCCCUGCACCAAUGCUUCAUGAUCACAAGAAGACAACAGAAAACAGAUGUCAGGCCAACACUUUCUUGACACCUGUCAUUUGGUUUAUUUCUUUUUGUUUAAAAAAUUGAUUUUCUCAAGCAACUUAAGUUUCAAAUAAUUCUUGGUUUGUAUUAUGUAUAUUUCCUUCUAUGCCUAUGUUGCUCAUGGAAAGUUUUAUAGUUUUGGAGCAAGUAGCCAUACUGGCAACAAAUUUUCCACAUCUCACGAAGAAAGGUAGGAUACAAGCAUUAUUCUUCGGCAACUCUCACUCAGUUUGUAUAUUUUCUUCUCUGCCUAUGCUGCUAACAAAGUCUAUAGUUUUGAUCCUAUUUUGAGGUAAAGUAGGCAAUGACAUUACAAUUACCAUAGAAUAUCCCUGUAACAAUCUAUAUGUACAACAAAGAUUUUGCCCUGCUUUGAAAAGAGUUUGUUGGAACUUCCAAGCCAUUUCAGUAGAGUACUUUAAUGCAAAUGUGUCUUUGUAUGACUUCACUUCAACCUGAACUUAUGUACAUAGUUCAACCUGUAGAAACAAUUAAAUUAGCAAACCACAGGUACA
Long non-coding RNA from Portunus trituberculatus (swimming crab), 1818 nucleotides. RefSeq lists it as uncharacterized. The transcript is spliced from 6 exons. The record is from RefSeq and is a predicted model, not a curated record. Lineage: Eukaryota; Metazoa; Arthropoda; Malacostraca; Decapoda; Portunidae.